RNAcentral lists this ribosomal RNA (608 nucleotides) under Salmonella enterica. RNAcentral's name for it is "bacterial LSU rRNA". It matches the Rfam family "Bacterial large subunit ribosomal RNA", at positions 1193 to 1782 of the family's 2925-position model. The record is from RNAcentral. Lineage: Bacteria; Pseudomonadati; Pseudomonadota; Gammaproteobacteria; Enterobacterales; Enterobacteriaceae.
ACCGAAGCUGCGGCAGCGACGCUGAUGCGUUGUUGGGUAGGGGAGCGUUCUGUAAGCCUGCGAAGGUGACCUGUGAGGGUUGCUGGAGGUAUCAGAAGUGCGAAUGCUGACAUAAGUAACGAUAAAGCGGGUGAAAAGCCCGCUCGCCGGAAGACCAAGGGUUCCUGUCCAACGUUAAUCGGGGCAGGGUGAGUCGACCCCUAAGGCGAGGCCGAAAGGCGUAGUCGAUGGGAAACGGGUUAAUAUUCCCGUACUUGGUGUUACUGCGAAGGGGGGACGGAGAAGGCUAUGUUGGCCGGGCGACGGUUGUCCCGGUUUAAGCGUGUAGGUGUGUGUUCCAGGUAAAUCCGGUUCACUUUAACACUGAGGCGUGACGACGAGGCACUACGGUGCUGAAGCAACAAAUGCCCUGCUUCCAGGAAAAGCCUCUAAGCAUCAGGUAACAUCAAAUCGUACCCCAAACCGACACAGGUGGUCAGGUAGAGAAUACCAAGGCGCUUGAGAGAACUCGGGUGAAGGAACUAGGCAAAAUGGUGCCGUAACUUCGGGAGAAGGCACGCUGACACGUAGGUGAAGUGAUUUACUCAUGGAGCUGAAGUCAGUCGAAG